GUGAAUCAUCGAAUCUUUGAACGCACAUUGCGCCCGCCAGUAUUCUGGCGGGCAUGCCUGUUCGAGCGUCAUUUCAACCAUCAAGCCCCGGGCUUGUGUUGGGGACCUGCGGCUGCCGCAGGCCCUGAAAACCAGUGGCGGGCUCGCUAGUCACUCCGAGCGUAGUAGUCUACACCUCGCUCAGGGCGUGCUGCGGGUUCCGGCCGUUAAAAGCCUUUUUUUACCCAAGGUUGACCUCGGAUCAGGUAGGAAGACCCGCUGAACUUAAGCAUAUCAAUAAGCGGAGGA
RNAcentral lists this unclassified non-coding RNA (288 nucleotides) under Chaetomium sp. RNAcentral's name for it is "partial contains 5.8S ribosomal RNA, internal transcribed spacer 2, and large subunit ribosomal RNA". The stretch from base 1 to 71 matches the Rfam family "5.8S ribosomal RNA", at positions 84 to 154 of the family's 154-position model. The record is from RNAcentral. Lineage: Eukaryota; Fungi; Ascomycota; Sordariomycetes; Sordariales; Chaetomiaceae.